RNAcentral lists this ribosomal RNA (253 nucleotides) under uncultured bacterium. RNAcentral's name for it is "partial 16S ribosomal RNA". It matches the Rfam family "Bacterial small subunit ribosomal RNA", at positions 524 to 776 of the family's 1533-position model. The record is from RNAcentral.
UACGGAGGGUGCAAGCGUUAUCCGGAUUCACUGGGUUUAAAGGGUGCGUAGGCGGUCUCGCAAGUCUGGCGUGAAAGCCCAAGGCUCAGCCUUGGAAGUGCGCUCGAAACGGCGAGGCUGGAGUGCCGGAGGGGAGAGUGGAAUUCCCGGUGUAGCGGUGAAAUGCGUAGAGAUCGGGAGGAAUACCGGUGGCGAAAGCGGCGAUCUGGGAAGAUACUGACGCUGAGGUGCGAAAGCGUGGGGAGCAAACAGG